AAGUCGUAACAAGGUAUCCGUAGGUGAACCUGCGGAUGGAUCAUUACCAAAGAUUUUCAUCAAAGUCUUGUGAACUGUUUUGACUACACUGUUGGGGUGCUAGAUUUAUGACUUUGUGUCUGAAUUGACCACCUCGACGGUACACACACAUACACGUAUAUAAACUCAAACUGACGUCUACGCUUUAGUAGUAAAUCAAACUAAAGACAACUUUUAGCAACGGAUCUCUUGGCUCUC
RNAcentral lists this unclassified non-coding RNA (237 nucleotides) under fungal sp. RNAcentral describes it as "partial internal transcribed spacer region". The stretch from base 1 to 46 matches the Rfam family "Eukaryotic small subunit ribosomal RNA", at positions 1786 to 1831 of the family's 1831-position model. The record is from RNAcentral. Lineage: Eukaryota; Fungi.